This 598-nucleotide long non-coding RNA is filed under the name Theobroma cacao (cacao). RNAcentral's name for it is "long non-coding RNA (TCAC_LNC003224)". The record is from RNAcentral. Lineage: Eukaryota; Viridiplantae; Streptophyta; Magnoliopsida; Malvales; Malvaceae.
UGAACUCAGCUAUCUACAACCUAAUCUGAACUUGAAAUGGGUGGAAAUGAGAGUGGUGAGAUUUUAUAAUCCUAGUGAGUAAACAAACAUCAUUCAAAAGAUCUAAAGUCGAGUAAAAGGAGACAAUUAAAAUAUUUCAUCUCAAUAUUUAUUUCAUAACAUAAAUAUUCAUUUCAUUUAAAUAUUCAACACGGCUUAUGAGUAUCUUAAAAACUUGGCUCCUGCCAAAAUCAUUCUCAGGGAUACCUUGGCUGAGGUAUCUAACCGAGUCCGCUAAGGCUGUUAAAAAAGUUCGUAUACACGUAAACAUAUUUUUAGUUUGAAAAACACAGCCAUUCCUUGGUGUUAGCGGAGUUCAUCAUCACGAGGUGGUUCGGCGUAACGUGAACUUUGUCCAUAUCUCAGGAGAUACCCUACGCGCCUCUCCGAUCGAGGUACAUAUAUAUAUAUAUAUAUAUAUAUAUAUCUGGAUUCCGUGCCCUUCUAAUAGGCUGGUCUACAGAAUCUGCCUACUGCAGCAAGCUAAACCCACCAUACAAUAAAAUUUUGACAACAUGACAGGGCUAAUAUUUUACUACCCAGCCUGCAAGGGUAAAAN